This is a long non-coding RNA of Nerophis ophidion (straightnose pipefish), 4507 nucleotides long. RefSeq lists it as uncharacterized. The record is from RefSeq and is a predicted model, not a curated record. NCBI's taxonomy places the organism in Eukaryota, Metazoa, Chordata, Actinopteri, Syngnathiformes, Syngnathidae. The transcript is spliced from 2 exons.
AGGGUGGCGGGGGGCGCUAUCUCAGCUACAAUCGGUCGGAAGGCGUGGUACACACUGGACAAGUUGCCAUCUCAUCGCAGGCAUGUGAAAAAUAAGCCUGAUGAAUAGCUCCUCCCCCUCCACCUUGUGGUGACAUCACAACGCAGCCUGAUGCUAAACCCUGCGAAGAGAGGCAUCCAAAAAUGGCGUGCAAGCUCACACCAAAAAUGCAAGACUAUCCAACAUUGUAACAUUUAUGAGCCAAAAAAGACAGAGUUCAUCAUACCUUAGAUCCCCUUGAAGAAAAAAUCAAAUUUGCUGUCAAAGUUUACUAUUUAAGUUGUUUAUAUCAAUUUAGGAAUGUGUAACACAAGCUACACCCUUUGCAACAAUACACACUUGUUCAUUACUUCUGGAAGUGGCAAACACAGCAUUGAACGCGUCACUGCUCACUCAACACAGAUGUCAGAAGGUCAUCAAAGCUCACUUUCAUGCAGUAAAACAUUUAGAAAACCAGAAUAAGGUAAUCGGAGAAAGGUAAAAAAUUUAAUGUCUUUUAUCGGACAAACUUAUGUUUAAGUUUCACUUUUGCAUCUCAUAGCACAUACCCGUGGUGCAUUCAAGGAACCAGGAUUAACGUUCGAAAAGGAGGUAUCGAUACUUUUUAAAGACAGGGGAGGCUUAACCCCUUGCACUAAGAAUAAUUAAUAUAUAACAGUAUAUGAUGAUAUAUACAAUUAUAUAAUAAUUACGUAUUAUUAUUAUUAUACUGAUGAUAAUCCUGCAUGAAUCAGCCUUAGUCUAUGACAGGGGUCGGGAACCUUUUUGGCUGAGAGAGUCAUGAAAGCCAAAUAUUUUGAAAUGUAUUUCCAUGAGAGCCUUAUAUUAUUUUUUUAACACUGAAUACAACUAAAUGUGUGCAUUUUUAAGUAACGUCAACAUUUUUUGAGUACAAUAACUCAUAUUCUUUUUAACAACAUUUUUAUUCCGAAGCUAACAAAUAAAUAGAAUACUUCUUACCCUUAAUGCGAAUUCUUGAACCGAUGCGUUAGAAAACGAAUGGAUGGACUAAAAUGCAGGAGAAUGUUUUGUAUUUUGAAAAAAAAUGUUUAACUCCGAUUACCAGAGGAAAUAUUAAUUUCUUAUCGUGUUAAGCAAUGUCAGCUAAAAUUAAUCCGAGAGCCAGAUGCAUCCAUCAAAAGAGCCACAUCUGGCUCUAGAGCCAUAGGUUCCCUACCCCUGCUCUAUGAAGUUAAGGAAAACUAUUUACUUGAACUUAAUUUAUUAUCCUUAUUAAAAUGAAUAAAGACAGGUUGUAUGAUAAUUAAAACGUACUGUCCGUCUUUUUUAUUAAAUUGGUCAACAUUAUUUUGUAAAAAAAAAAAAUAAUAAUAAUUACUUUAGAGAAUUAAAAAAUACCAAAUAAUUUAAGGACAUUUAAUGAUAUAUUAGGGGGUCUAAUGAUGACACUGGUGGGUCUCACUGGUUCGAACGCUUUAUUUAAAAAAAAAAAAAAACAUUAUUGAUGAGACUAAGACUAAAGCAUGUAAAUAUUGUGGACUUCAUCUUCAUGGAGCGUGCCAUUCACUGUACUUCCUGGUUGUCAUGCGUGUGGCGCACCAGACAAUUACAUGUGUGAAUGCUUCUCUGCAGACACACAAUGAUGCACGGAUGAGAGUGUUUACAUGCACCAAGGAACGGGUUUGCAUUCACUUCAUCAAAAUAUGCUGAUCUCUAAAAUCUUUAUCAAAAAUCUAUAAAAAGUUGAAAACCUUAUCAGAGUGUUUUCCAUGCAAUAUCUUGGGGGACAUAUAAUCCUGCACAUUUUUUAUUUAAAAAGGCUUGUUUCCACCAAAUUGUUUUUUUAAAAAGGCUGGUUUCCACCAAAUUAAGUCAAUGUUUUAAUGUUUUUUUUUAAUGUUUUUUUUUUAAGUGUAUGUCAACAUACUGAGUGUAUAUACUGUAUGUGGGGCGGUGAUGUUUGGUUUAGGGUGAGAUGGGGGACAUUUGAUCUGCCACCAAUCAUCAAUCCAUUUAUUUUCUACCACUUGUCCCUUUUGGGGCUGCGGGGGGUGCUGGAGCCUCUCUCUUUAUUUUUUUUUUUAUUGAUUUUUUUUUUUUUUUGUCCUGUCCAGCUUCUCAGGAAAAACAUAUAGUUGAUGUAGAUGCCCAUAUCGGCUGUUCAGAUUUACUUUACAAAAGAAGUGUAGGACACUUAUGUUGUUGCCUUAUUUCAAUUUGACUGAAUGUAUUUAUAUUAUCAUUUGGUGCAGCCAGGCCGGAGCAGGAGGGGAUAGAAAGACACAAAAGGAAGACAGAGGGGGAAAUUGUGAGGAUAAGAGGGGGAUUAGACAGGGAGACAAAAACAACAACAACAACAAAAACAACAAUAGAACACCAGCACAUUCAGUACGAUAUGUACAAAUGAUCGUAAAAGUGAUAGCAAAGAAGCAGUUAGCGAUAAAUAAUACAGAAAUGAUAAUGAGCAUUUUUACACUACAACUGGAGCAAUACAAAUACCAAUAGAAAAAGCGCUAUUGAUAAUGAACAAUACCAAUAAUUUACCUCUAUUAUCAACAAUACAGUUGUUCAAAUGCAACAAUACAUAUACGAAAUGAUAGCUAGAGAUGAAAAAAAAAAAGGAAUACCGAAAUAUGAAGGGGAAGAGAGAGAGAGGCAACCUAUAUUAACCUUGUAGAUUGUUAUAGUAAAAAUGAGUGCCAUGUGUUUCCCAGUUUCCCCUAGGGCAACAACGUUAAUAUAUGUUUGAUGAAACGUGAUUAUGUGCAUGAGUGUGUGUAUGUAUGUAUAUGUACUUGUAUAUGUACAGUAUGUGUAUUUGAAUGUUUAUACAGUGAAUGUAUAUGUACAUGUAUGUGUAUGUUUGUACAGUGAAUGUAUAUGUACAUGUAUGUGUAUAUGUAUGUUUGUACAGUGAAUGAGCGUGUGGAUGGACAAAGUAUGUCGGUAUGUACUGUAUUUGUGUACGUAUGUGGGAGCGUAGGUACCUAUGUAUUUAUGUAUGUAUGUAUGUAUGUAUGUAUGUAUGAAUAACGGUGUGUGUGUGAGUAUACAGUAUGUGCAUUUGUAUGUACAAUAUAUUUGACUCCCAGUGUGUGGGAGCCAGAGUACGGCCCCAGCCACCCAGAGAACCUAACUCAAACAGCAGGAGCCUAUUUCAGCUACAAUCGGGCGAAAGGCAGUGCACACGCUGGACAAGUCGCCACCUCAUCACAGGGCCAACACAGAUAGACAGACAACAUUCACACUCACACUCAAACCCUAGGGCCAAUUUAGUGUGCGUGGAGCCGCUCCCUCAACAUGCAUUACAGCACAUACAUUGCAAUUUUUUAAUAUCUUAAGUAGUGUUAUCACUGGAGGGUGAGGUUGAACAUGUCACACACUAAGUGCUAGUCAGGAACAGGUAUGGUAACAGCUAGGCUAACCGCUAAAAUAGUUUGACCCCACACUGUCACUGUUUGACUUCCUCAUAAAAAGGGGACACAUUUGUUCAACAAACAUUCAAUAGUGUUAGUGAAAAGCCUCAACAAACAAGUUUUAACCUGUCACUCCCCAUGGCUCGGAAGGUGUGGCUAAAAGAGUCAGGAAGGGGCUGAGGCCUUUAUGUAGGUGAGCACACCUGCUUGGACUAAUUAGGCCUAAUUUGGGCCAAACCAUGAUUGUCAGUAACUGGGUGUUGAAGAGGGACACUGGACAUUUGAAAGUUGUGUUGUCUAAGCCUGAAUACACUGGGUACACAAAUGACUGCUUUACAAAUACAAAAGUACAAUGUGAAUACUUUUUAGACAUGUGAUAGUUACUUAUGAUGUAAAUUACAAAAUUACUGAUUUCUUAAUUCCCCCUGUCAAAUUGGUCCCAGCUAGUGGGCGGGGCUAUGGACUUUUUAAGUGGGGAAAAUGUCAUGUUUCUGCCAGGGGUAGAAAUAGGAAAGAAGAAGACAGUAUUACUAGAAUGAGAUUAGGACAUACAUAUCUAAAUAGUUCCCUAAAACUGAUAGGCAAACAUACUACAGGGCUGUGUGAUUUUUGCCACCAGAUAGAAAAUGUUGACCAUGUCUUAAUACAAUGUAGGAAAUAUAAUAGAGAAAGAGAAAUACUGGAAAAUAAGUUAGCAAAAGAAAAUAUUAGGUUAGAAGUGGGAAGUAUAUUAGGAUUGCAUUCAGAAAACAUAGGAUACAAAGCAAUAUACACAUAUUUAAAAAACACUGGGUUAAAUAAAAGAAUAUAGAGUAGGGAUCCACCUCGGUCCAAACUCCAUUACAGUAGGUGGCGGUAAUGCACACCAGAAGGUUGCUUGCCAACCACCAUAAAAACAAAAGAAGAAGAAGAAGAAGAAGGUUUCUGCCAGUCUGCUGUCUGUCACUGCCAGAGGAGGAUGUCUGUCCUGACCAAGAGUUUCGAGGUUCAUACAUCAAACCAACUACUGAGAUUGUGGGUGCUUGGUCUUUCUGUUGUUGUUCACCUCUUGACACUUUUUGGGAUUUUAAAUAAAUGUUUGUAAACUGUUA